UUGACACCCUAUGGAGCAAAGAAGAGGGCUGAGACGGUGGUUUUGGGAAAUAUGCUGUUCAGGGAGAUUUCGUGUCAACCUCCCAAGCCUU
Molecule: non-coding RNA, 91 nt
Filed under: Ditylum brightwellii
Lineage: Eukaryota; Bacillariophyta; Thalassiosirophyceae; Lithodesmiales; Lithodesmiaceae
Source: RNAcentral